AUGGGAGAGCUAGAGAAGGCAACAAACAAUUUCCAUCAAACACGUAUCGUUGGACAUGGAGGGCACGGCAUGGUUUACAAAGGCAUACUAUCCGACCAAAGGGUAGUGGCCAUAAAAAAGUCUAAGGUCAUUGAUCAAGGUGAGAUCAACCAAUUCAUCAAUGAGGUCGCCAUCCUCUCUCAGAUAAACCACAGGAACAUCGUAAAGCUCUUUGGAUGUUGUCUUGAGACAGAGGUACCUCUGUUAGUGUAUGAUUUUAUCCCCAAUGGAUCAUUGUUUGGUAUUCUUCAUUCUGAUUCCGUCACUAGUUGUUUAUCUUGGGCUGACUGCAUAAGGAUUGCUGCGGAAUCAGCAGGAGCUCUCUCAUAUCUCCAUUCCGCAGCUUCGAUAUCGGUCUUCCAUCGUGAUGUGAAAUCAUCCAAUAUACUCUUGGAUGGAAACUACACAGCUAAAGUUGCUGAUUUUGGGGCUUCGAGAUUAGUUUCUAUUGACCAGACUCACAUUGUAACGAAUGUACAAGGGACGUUUGGGUACCUGGAUCCAGAGUAUUACUACACUGGACACUUGAAUGAGAAAAGUGAUGUCUACAGCUUUGGUGUGGUACUCAUUGAGCUACUUAUUAGGAAAGAGCCAAUAUUCACAAGUGAAUCAGGCUCGAAGCAAAAUUUAUCAAAGCAUUUUCUUUCGGUGUUAAAAGCAAGACGGAUUACAGAAAUAGUAGCUGUCCAAGUUCUUGAUGAAGCAACCGAGGAAGAGAUUAGCAGCGUAGCUUCCCUUGCAGAGAUGUGCCUGAGGCUCCGAGGUGAGGAUAGACCUACCAUGAAACACGUGGAGAUGGCUUUGAGGGCUUUGCAAACAAAAAGGUUAAAAUCCUACCAUAUUGAUUCAAUAAAUGGAAAAGAGAAGGAACCAUUUCUAAAUCCAACAAGUGACAAUGAUAGCCCUGACAAGGUGGUUGCUGCUGAUUCCAGUGCCAGUGCUAAUUCUCCAUCUGAAAACAUAAAAACGUGUUAUAGCUUUGAGCAAGAGUGCAUGUCAUAUGAUGGUGUAUCACACUAG
Molecule: ribosomal RNA, 1059 nt
Filed under: Triticum aestivum (bread wheat)
Lineage: Eukaryota; Viridiplantae; Streptophyta; Magnoliopsida; Poales; Poaceae
Description: partial small subunit ribosomal RNA
Source: RNAcentral